GAUGAACGCUGGCGGCGUGCUUAACACAUGCAAGUCGAACGGUGAAGCCAAGCUUGCUUGGUGGAUCAGUGGCGAACGGGUGAGUAACACGUGAGCAACCUGCCCUGGACUCUGGGAUAAGCGCUGGAAACGGCGUCUAAUACUGGAUAUGAGCCUCUAUCGCAUGGUGGGGGUCGGAAAGAUUUUUUGGUCUGGGAUGGGCUCGCGGCCUAUCAACUUGUUGGUGAGGUAAUGGCUCACCAAGGCGUCGACGGGUAGCCGGCCUGAGAGGGUGACCGGCCACACUGGGACUGAGACACGGCCCAGACUCCUACGGGAGGCAGCAGUGGGGAAUAUUGCACAAUGGGCGAAAGCCUGAUGCAGCAACGCCGCGUGAGGGAUGACGGCCUUCGGGUUGUAAACCUCUUUUAGCAGGGAAGAAGCGAAAGUGACGGUACCUGCAGAAAAAGCGCCGGCUAACUACGUGCCAGCAGCCGCGGUAAUACGUAGGGCGCAAGCGUUAUCCGGAAUUAUUGGGCGUAAAGAGCUCGUAGGCGGUUUGUCGCGUCUGCUGUGAAAUCCCGAGGCUCAACCUCGGGCCUGCAGUGGGUACGGGCAGACUAGAGUGCGGUAGGGGAGAUUGGAAUUCCUGGUGUAGCGGUGGAAUGCGCAGAUAUCAGGAGGAACACCGAUGGCGAAGGCAGAUCUCUGGGCCGUAACUGACGCUGAGGAGCGAAAGGGUGGGGAGCAAACAGGCUUAGAUACCCUGGUAGUCCACCCCGUAAACGUUGGGAACUAGUUGUGGGGACCAUUCCACGGUUUCCGUGACGCAGCUAACGCAUUAAGUUCCCCGCCUGGGGAGUACGGCCGCAAGGCUAAAACUCAAAGGAAUUGACGGGGACCCGCACAAGCGGCGGAGCAUGCGGAUUAAUUCGAUGCAACGCGAAGAACCUUACCAAGGCUUGACAUAUACGAGAACGGGCCAGAAAUGGUCAACUCUUUGGACACUCGUAAACAGGUGGUGCAUGGUUGUCGUCAGCUCGUGUCGUGAGAUGUUGGGUUAAGUCCCGCAACGAGCGCAACCCUCGUUCUAUGUUGCCAGCACGUAAUGGUGGGAACUC
This 1100-nucleotide ribosomal RNA is filed under the name uncultured bacterium. RNAcentral's name for it is "bacterial SSU rRNA". It matches the Rfam family "Bacterial small subunit ribosomal RNA", at positions 28 to 1140 of the family's 1533-position model. The record is from RNAcentral.